This 449-nucleotide ribosomal RNA is filed under the name uncultured bacterium. Its description in RNAcentral is "partial 16S ribosomal RNA". It matches the Rfam family "Bacterial small subunit ribosomal RNA", at positions 329 to 794 of the family's 1533-position model. The record is from RNAcentral.
CUCCAGACUCCUACGGGAGGCAGCAGUGGGGGAUAUUGCACAAUGGGGGGAACCCUGAUGCAGCGACGCCGCGUGGGUGAAGGAGCGUUUCGGCGCGUAAAGCCCUAUCGGCAGGGAAGAAGGAGGACGGUACCUGACUAAGAAGCCCCGGCUAACUACGUGCCAGCAGCCGCGGUAAUACGUAGGGGGCAAGCGUUAUCCGGAUUUACUGGGUGUAAAGGGAGCGUAGGCGGUUAGAUAAGUCUGAUGUGAAAGCCCACAGCUUGACUGUGGGAUUGCAUUGGAAACUAUAGAACUAGAGUGUCGGAGAGGUAAGUGGAAUUCCUAGUGUAGCGGUGAAAUGCGUAGAUAUUAGGAGGAACACCAGUGGCGAAGGCGGCUUAUUGGACGAUGACUGACGCUGAGGCUCGAAAGCGUGGGGAGCAAACAGGAUUAGAUACCCUGGUAAC